GUCAUCUCUCGCUCAAUCCGCCGGUGUCCUCCGUCGCAUUUUCCAGCGUCCGACACCGGAUAAUUCCACCGUCGACUGGUCAACUGAUCACCAAUCAUGCCGGAAGAAACCAUUCCGAUAGACUACGUCAUGGAAGCCGCCUCCGGACCUCACUUCUCUGGCCUCAGACUCGAUGGACGUCUCUCCUCUCCGCCGUCUUCCUCAACUUCCUCUCCGGCUCACCGCUCUUCUCUUUCCGCUUCCUUUGCACAGGCCGAUGCCAACUCUCCUAAGCAGCCCUUCGUCAUCGGUGUUUCUGGAGGUACCGCUUCUGGGAAGACGACGGUGUGUGACAUGAUUAUCCAGCAACUUCAUGAUCACAGGGUUGUGCUGGUCAAUCAGGACUCCUUUUACCGCGGGUUGACAGCUGAGGAACUAGAACGCGUGCACGAGUAUAACUUUGAUCAUCCUGAUUCUUUUGACACCGAGCAGCUUGUAGAUUGCAUCGAGAAGCUUAAGAGUGGCCAACCUUACCAUGUCCCAAUUUAUGAUUUUAAAACUCAU
RNAcentral lists this unclassified non-coding RNA (543 nucleotides) under Hevea brasiliensis (rubber tree). The record is from RNAcentral. Lineage: Eukaryota; Viridiplantae; Streptophyta; Magnoliopsida; Malpighiales; Euphorbiaceae.